ACUUCUUCCCCGUCCUGCCAUGAAUUUUUUUCACUGCAUUUACUGCUGUUGGGUCUCACCUGUUCUCUGCUUUGUUCCCCAGGCACAAGCAAACAGGACCUGACUUCCUUCAACAUGGAGCUGUCCUCCAGCGGCAUCAGUGCUGACCUCAGCAGGGGCCAUGCAGUCGUGGGGGCAGUAGGAGCCAAGGACUGGGCUGGGGGCUUUCUCGACCUGAAGGCAGACCUGCAGGAUGACACAUUUAUUGGGAAUGAACCAUUGACACCAGAAGUGAGAGCAGGCUAUUUGGGUUACACCGUGACCCGGCUGCCCUCCCGGGAAAAGACUUCGUUGCUGGCCUCGGGAGCCCCUCGAUACCAGCACGUGGGCCGAGUGCUGCUGUUCCAAGAGCCACAGGGCGGAGGACACUGGAGCCAGGUCCAGACAAUCCAUGGGACCCAGAUUGGCUCUUAUUUCGGUGGGGAGCUGUGUGGCGUCGACAUGGACCAAGAUGGGGAGACAGAGCUGCUGCUGAUUGGUGCCCCACUUUUCUAUGGGGAGCAGAGAGGAGGCCGGGUGUUUAUCUACCAGAGAAGACAGGUGGGG
RNAcentral lists this small RNA (585 nucleotides) under Pan troglodytes (chimpanzee). RNAcentral describes it as "retained intron". Lineage: Eukaryota; Metazoa; Chordata; Mammalia; Primates; Hominidae. The record is from RNAcentral.